UUAAGUUCAGCGGGUAGUCCUACCUGAUUCGAGGUCAACCAGAAAAAAGUUGGGGGUUUUACGGCGUGGUCGCACCGAGACUCCAGAGCGAGGUGUAUUACUACGCAGAGGAAGCUACAGCGAGACCGCCACUAUAUUUGGGGGACGGCGCGACCCGGAGGACGCCUUGCCGAUCCCCGACACCAAGCAGAGCUUGAGGG
This 200-nucleotide unclassified non-coding RNA is filed under the name Calonectria sp. Its description in RNAcentral is "partial internal transcribed spacer 2". The record is from RNAcentral. Lineage: Eukaryota; Fungi; Ascomycota; Sordariomycetes; Hypocreales; Nectriaceae.